RNAcentral lists this small RNA (29 nucleotides) under Bombyx mori (domestic silkworm). RNAcentral describes it as "piRNA piR-bmo-2090511". The record is from RNAcentral. Lineage: Eukaryota; Metazoa; Arthropoda; Insecta; Lepidoptera; Bombycidae.
UGAAAACGGCAGUCAGCUGGGAUUGGGGU